Molecule: ribosomal RNA, 253 nt
Filed under: uncultured bacterium
Lineage: Bacteria
Description: partial 16S ribosomal RNA
Rfam family: Bacterial small subunit ribosomal RNA
Source: RNAcentral
UACGAGAGGCCCAAACGUUAUUCGGAAUUACUGGGCUUAAAGAGUUCGUAGGCGGCAUUGCAAGUAGGGUGUGAAAGCCCUCGGCUCAACCGAGGAAUUGCGCUCUAAACUGCAGUGCUUGAGGAAGCUAGAGGUGAGCAGAACAGAUGGUGGAGCGGUGAAAUGCGUUGAUAUCAUCUGGAAUACCGGAGGCGAAGGCGGCUCACUGGGGCUUACCUGACGCUGAGGAGCGGAAGCGUGGGGAGCGAACAGG